This 279-nucleotide ribosomal RNA is filed under the name uncultured bacterium. RNAcentral's name for it is "partial 16S ribosomal RNA". It matches the Rfam family "Bacterial small subunit ribosomal RNA", at positions 506 to 784 of the family's 1533-position model. The record is from RNAcentral.
UGCCAGCCGCCGCGGUAAUACGGAGGGUGCGAGCGUUAAUCGGAAUUACUGGGCGUAAAGCGCACGUAGGCGGAUUGUUAAGUUAGAGGUGAAAUCCCGGAGCUCAACUCCGGAACUGCCUUUAAUACUGGCAAUCUUGAGUCCGAGAGAGGUGAGUGGAACUCCUAGUGUAGAGGUGGAAUUCGUAGAUAUUAGGAAGAACACCAGUGGCGAAGGCGGCUCACCGGCUCGAUACUGACGCUGAGGUGCGAAAGCGUGGGGAGCAAACAGGAUUAGAUA